Long non-coding RNA from Salvia miltiorrhiza (redroot sage), 1392 nucleotides. RefSeq lists it as uncharacterized. Lineage: Eukaryota; Viridiplantae; Streptophyta; Magnoliopsida; Lamiales; Lamiaceae. The transcript is spliced from 3 exons. The record is from RefSeq and is a predicted model, not a curated record.
CUCAAGAAUAAAUUGUGAUUGUGCGCGAGAUAUACCAAAAAAAUUUACUGAGAGAAACAUCAUAUUAUUAAGAUGAUGAUGCUGAAUCUACUUGUGCUUUCAGAUUCAAGAACGAUGGUGUAUAGAAAAAGUGCCUCAAUGUUUCGGUGAGAAAUCACUAUUUCAGCAAGAAUCUCGAUGUUUGCGCCACAAAAAUGAUCGCAAAAGACACAGCAUUUUCUACUGUGAUAGAAUAAAUCAGCAAUUCGAGAUUUUCCAGAUGGUUUUUCACAAGCAUGCUGCUAGUAAAUUGGAGUCGUGUUAUUCAUCCUAGCGCCUUAUUACAAAACGAGGCUUGCAAGUUAUAUAAGGAAAGUUGGUCUCCUAAGAUGAUGCUGGCGGUGGCACAAAAGAGGCAUCAUACUAGAUUUUUCAACUCAAAAUCUCCACAUUAUAAUGUCCGACCAGGACUGUGGUUGACACUGGAGUUUGUCACCCAAGGAAUAAUGACUUCUACUUGUGUGCUCAUCAAGGAACCAUGGUGAGCUUUUUUCACAAAAAAAUAUGUUUCAGAUCGAAUCCAAACUUGGAUCUAACGGCAUAUUUGUAAUUUCGUUGGUUGGUGUUUAAUUGUAUUUAGAACCGUAGCUUGACCUAUCUUGUGAAUUUUGACAUUUUGACUUUAAUGUGUCCCUUGACUUUAAUGUUUUUUUACUUUUUUCACAAAAAACUUGUGUCAGAUAGUUUUACAUGUUAAAAUUCAUAAUACGGGUCAAGGUUCGGAUCUAAACUCGUAUCUAACGGCAUAUUUGUAAUUUUGUUAAUGUGUGUAGGGAACGAGACGGCCGACCCACUAUCAUGUCUUGUGCGACGAGAUCGGUUGCACUGCCGAUGAAAUAUAAAAGUUUGUGCAUGCUUUAUCUUUUGUGUAAGUAGAUAUGUUAAUUUGUGUAUAUUCACACAAUAUUAUUUACAUUUAUAUCAAUAGCACGCAUGUAUGAUCCAUUGUUUUGAUUCUUAUAGGUAUCGGCCAAGUAAUAGAGCUGUCUCUGUAGGUAUGUAUGAUCUAAGUAUAAUUUUUUAUUUGAUUAGUUUGUUAUAUAUCUGCAGUUGCCCCCAUCUUAUACACACAUCGUGUUGCGGCCAAAAUGUCCCAAUUUCUUGAAGAAACUGAUCAAGUUCCGGCCCAAGUGCCUCCACUUCCAAGACUGCACAGAAAGGCAGUGACUUGUAUGUUCUUUUGUUAACAAAAUUAGUUUAGUCCUUUUGACGAUUAUGGUCGAUUUAUUUAUUGAAUAAAACUAUCUAGACAACAUCUGGUUUUAGAAAUAAAAAUUGGUUGAACCAUUUUAUUGAGUUGGACCAAUUUUUUAUUUUUUUUAUUUUGUAAAGUUACAAUUAUGUCUCUAAUUU